This is a long non-coding RNA of Erinaceus europaeus (western European hedgehog), 1935 nucleotides long. RefSeq lists it as uncharacterized. The record is from RefSeq and is a predicted model, not a curated record. NCBI's taxonomy places the organism in Eukaryota, Metazoa, Chordata, Mammalia, Eulipotyphla, Erinaceidae. The transcript is spliced from 4 exons.
CCACGCCCCGCCUCUUCUACCAGGCGCCCUGAUCUCCAGACACUGCCAGGAUUUUCCCGAAAGUCCUCUGUGGUUGGAAAUGUCUGUACAAAUUCACGUACUUCUAUACGCAAAAAUCUAGAGACUGUCAGAAAUCAAGAGGAAACGGGGAGAUAGAGAGGAAGAGACACAGAGAGACAUCUUCAGCACUGCUUCACCACUCACUGGCACUUUCCCCUGGCUUGUGCAUUGUAAUACAUGCGCUCAAACAGGUGCACCACCACCCAGCCCCAGAUUCUCUGGAGUGACAGAAAUCCUAGCUAAACCUUUUGUGUGAAGGACAGUUUUGGGAUAUAGUUGAAUUGACUAUCUUCACUGUCUACAUUAAAGCAGAAUAAAGUAUGAACAAUUUUUGAUAAAUUAUGUCAAGCGUUUGGGUUUUUCCAUUUGGCUUUGGACAUAAGGCAAUACUCCAGAAAACAAAGGCAAACCCUUGGGACGCAACACAGUCAUCUGGAAAUACCUAUCUAUUAGUGUGUAACUUGAUGUCCGUGCUUCCAAAUUAUCUUGAUCAACAAAUAUUUUGCUUUGGUUUUUCUUUUCCUGAUAACUCCAGGCUCCCAGGCCCCAGAGAUUCUGCUUUAGUAAUUACUGGCUAAAUCAGGAACUUCAUCUCUUAAAAAAGAUCUUCAAUAUUUUGGCUUGAGGCUAAAGGUAGGAACCACAGAUGCACACCAGACUACUUGGGAUAUAUAGUAAUCAAGAGGAAUAGAUAAAUUCCACAGUUUUUGGGCAGGCUCUCCAUUAUACAGCAGCAAUAUCCUAACAGGUUCAUCAGACUACUAUUUCCCCAGUGUUUUCUCCUUUCUAGACAGUAAGCAUAUUAUAUGGUGAAACCACCUUGUAUCUAAGUAAAUUUCUCGGAUAGGAUUCCUAGGGGAAAGGAUACUUCUAAGAGGCAUAAGAAUUAAAAGAGUGGAUCUGUAGCCCUUACUUAGAAUCUGCACAUUCUAAUGUUUUUGACUCAGGUCAACUCCUGGAAAAUUCUCCUUAUUGGAAAGUAUAAAUCUGUCCAUCACUGUACAACAGCAUUUAGCCUUUUAAGGCAGUCUGGGUUUUGAGAAUUAUUUAUCCUACCUCAAGUCAUUACAUAUAAUCAAGUGAAUUUCUCUAUAUGGUUAGAAUAUAUUUUAAGAAGGCUCUUUGAAUACUUUUGCCUAAGAUUUUUAGCUUUUCUGAUAGUUAAAAAAAAAGCUUAUAUAGAAUUACAAUCAAUAGCACAGUUGGUUCUAUAUAGAUAGGCAAUGGAAAGUAAAAUCACAUUUAUGACCUUCCUUGUAGAAUUCCAAGCACCUCAACAUUAAUAGUUCAGUCAGUAUUCAAUACAGAUUUUAUAUGUUUGCUCUAUGUGUAUGAUGGCCAAAAUACAUGUUUCUGUUCCUUAUGGUACUCAUGAAUGCCAAAGUUUAGUUUAAGGCUUUUAUAUAUAGUGUAGUACAAGAAACACAUAAUAAUUCAGUUCUGAAUAAAUAUCACUCUUGGUCUUCCUUGCAAAAUAAAACUGUGAAUUAGACUUCUGUCAGCUAAUCUUAAGGAAAAGACUAUAAAAAGGGAAAGUAAAUGACUUACCUCUUAAUAUGUAUGUCUCCAGGUAGAGUAGCUGAACUGAAAGCUUACACUUUAGAGUAAAAAAGAACUCAAUAUCAUUGAAUUUCUUUUCAUACUGACUAAUAACUACAGAAUGUUUGUUACUGAAGUUGACAAAGUAAACUCAUCUUUUAGUUGUGUUGUUUAUAAGGCAGUCUCCUGAUACUUACUGGCUCUGGGGAUCAAGUAUACAGUUAAAGUCAUAAUAGACUACAAAUGACACAUAAAAGUUUUUAAGCAUCUUAUCUUUGCUUUGAAGACUGAUUUGUCCAAUCAGUGAAAUUUUAUUUGUCUAACAGAAUAAAUAAA